AUGGAGCUGGAGCUCGAAGCAGGCGGCGGCGGCGGAAGAGUGGUUUCCCUCUCCAGCGAGUCCCCGUCGGCCGAGCUCGGCCGCGGCGACCUGGUUCUCGCAGACCGCAACAUAUCGCGCCGCCACGUCUCCCUCCGCCUCGUCGGCGGCGGGGAGCCUGGGGUCGCCUUCGAGGUCGUAGGGAGGAACCCCGUGCUCGUCCGCUCGCCAGUCGGAGGAGACAAGGUGUACCGCCGCGGCGAGGCGGGCGAGCUCCGGGCCGGGGACGGGCUGUCUCUGUCGCUGAAGGCGCCGUCAUUCUGGACGGUGCGGAGGACGGCCGGGGAGGAGGAGGCGGUUGAGGGUGCGGAGGUGGAGGUGGACACCGCGGUGCUAGACGCGGUGGCGAGGCGGGAGAAGCGGACGCGGGAGAGGAAGGAGAGGGAAAGGGAGAGGCGAGCGUCGGAGGAGGCCAUGGAGGUGACGAAGGAGGAUGUUAUGGCGGCGUCCGGUGAUGACGAUUUGGAUGAGGAAGUAGAGGAUCUGAAAAUUGAUCUUGAUAGCAUCGACCCGGUUCAAGAGUUUGGUUUUUUGUCGGUGGGUCAUGAAUUUGACAAUUACCCUAAGGGCCGGAUUCGCCCUCCGAAGGAUUGGAACUGGUUCCUAGAGGAAAUAAGGAAGGGCAGCGAUGAUGAAGAUGACGACGAUGUUAGUAACACGGGACGUAAAUCAAGGGGUCGUAGUCGUGCGAACAAGAAGAAGAAAAAGAUAGAGGGUGAAGAUGAUGAUGAGUGGACUGAUGAGAGCGAAGAUGGAAAAGACACCCUGCUAACAGGCGCUAGUGUGAAGAGACCAAAAAAGUAUGUAACAAGAUCGAAAGACCCCAAAAAACCUCGCAAGGAGAACUCAAAAACAGAAAAUGAGGAUACGGCGGAUGAACAGGAUGAGACAGAUGAAGAUGAUGAAGCAGAUGAGACACUGGGAGGUUUUAUAGUCGGAGAAGAGGAUGAGGAUGAGCCUAUGGAAGAGCUGAGUGAGGAAGAAGAGGAAGAUGAAUUCGAUGAUGAAGACGAGGACGACUGA
This 1062-nucleotide ribosomal RNA is filed under the name Triticum aestivum (bread wheat). Its description in RNAcentral is "partial small subunit ribosomal RNA". The record is from RNAcentral. Lineage: Eukaryota; Viridiplantae; Streptophyta; Magnoliopsida; Poales; Poaceae.